AGUGAACGCUGGCGGUAGGCCUAACACAUGCAAGUCGAACGGCAGCACAGUAAGAGCUUGCUCUUACGGGUGGCGAGUGGCGGACGGGUGAGGAAUACAUCGGAAUCUACUUUUUCGUGGGGGAUAACGUAGGGAAACUUACGCUAAUACCGCAUACGACCUACGGGUGAAAUCAGGGGAUCUUCGGACCUUGCGCGAUUGAAUGAGCCGAUGUCGGAUUAGCUAGUUGGCGGGGUAAAGGCCCACCAAGGCGACGAUCCGUAGCUGGUCUGAGAGGAUGAUCAGCCACACUGGAAAUGAGACACGGUCCAGACUCCUACGGGAGGCAGCAGUGGGGAAUAUUGGACAAUGGGCGCAAGCCUGAUCCAGCCAUACCGCGUGGGUGAAGAAGGCCUUCGGGUUGUAAAGCACUUUUGUUGGGAAAGAAAAGCAGAAGGUUAAUACCCCGCUGUUCUGACGGUACCAAAAGAAUAAGCACCGGCUAACUUCGUG
This 492-nucleotide ribosomal RNA is filed under the name uncultured bacterium. RNAcentral describes it as "partial 16S ribosomal RNA". It matches the Rfam family "Bacterial small subunit ribosomal RNA", at positions 29 to 507 of the family's 1533-position model. The record is from RNAcentral.